ACCGAUAGUGAACCAGUACCGUGAGGGAAAGGCGAAAAGAACCCCGGCGAGGGGAGUGAAAAAGAACCUGAAACCGUGUACGUACAAGCAGUGGGAGCCUCUUAAUGGGGUGACUGCGUACCUUUUGUAUAAUGGGUCAGCGACUUAUAUUCUGUAGCAAGGUUAACCGAAUAGGGGAGCCGAAGGGAAACCGAGUCUUAACUGGGCGCUAAGUUGCAGGGUAUAGACCCGAAACCCGGUGAUCUAGUCAUGGGCAGGUUGAAGGUUGGGUAACACUAACUGGAGGACCGAACCGACUAAUGUUGAAAAAUUAGCGGAUGACUUGUGGCUGGGGGUGAAAGGCCAAUCAAACCGGGAGAUAGCUGGUUCUCCCCGAAAGCUAUUUAGGUAGCGCCUCGUGAAUUCAUCUCCGGGGGUAGAGCACUGUUUCGGCAAGGGGGUCAUCCCGACUUACCAACCCGAUGCAAACUGCGAAUACCGGAGAAUGUUAUCACGGGAGACACACGGCGGGUGCUAACGUCCGUCGUGAAGAGGGAAACAACCCAGACCGCCAGCUAAGGUCCCAAAGUCAUGGUUAAGUGGGAAACGAUGUGGGAAGGCCCAGACAGCCAGGAUGUUGGCUUAGAAGCAGCCAUCAUUUAAAGAAAGCGUAAUAGCUCACUGGUCGAGUCGGCCUGCGCGGAAGAUGUAACGGGGCUAAACCAUGCACCGAAGCUGCGGCAGCGACACUAUGUGUUGUUGGGUAGGGGAGCGUUCUGUAAGCCUGUGAAGGUGGCCUGUGAGGGUUGCUGGAGGUAUCAGAAGUGCGAAUGCUGACAUAAGUAACGAUAAAGCGGGUGAAAAGCCCGCUCGCCGGAAGACCAAGGGUUCCUGUCCAACGUUAAUCGGGGCAGGGUGAGUCGACCCCUAAGGCGAGGCCGAAAGGCGUAGUCGAUGGGAAACAGGUUAAUAUUCCUGUACUUGGUGUUACUGCGAAGGGGGGACGGAGAAGGCUAUGUUGGCCGGGCGACGGUUGUCCCGGUUUAAGCGUGUAGGCUGGUUUUCCAGGCAAAUCCGGAAAACCAAGGCUGAGGCGUGAUGACGAGGCACUACGGUGCUGAAGCGACAAAUGCCCUGCUUCCAGGAAAAGCCUCUAAGCAUCAGGUAACAUCAAAUCGUACCCCAAACCGACACAGGUGGUCAGGUAGAGAAUACCAAGGCGCUUGAGAGAACUCGGGUGAAGGAACUAGGCAAAAUGGUGCCGUAACUUCGGGAGAAGGCACGCUGAUAUGUAGGUGAAGCGACUUGCUCGUGGAGCUGAAAUCAGUCGAAGAUACCAGCUGGCUGCAACUGUUUAUUAAAAACACAGCACUGUGCAAACACGAAAGUGGACGUAUACGGUGUGACGCCUGCCCGGUGCCGGAAGGUUAAUUGAUGGGGUUAGCGGUAACGCGAAGCUCUUGAUCGAAGCCCCGGUAAACGGCGGCCGUAACUAUAACGGUCCUAAGGUAGCGAAAUUCCUUGUCGGGUAAGUUCCGACCUGCACGAAUGGCGUAAUGAUGGCCAGGCUGUCUCCACCCGAGACUCAGUGAAAUUGAACUCGCUGUGAAGAUGCAGUGUACCCGCGGCAAGACGGAAAGACCCCGUGAACCUUUACUAUAGCUUGACACUGAACAUUGAGCCUUGAUGUGUAGGAUAGGUGGGAGGCUUUGAAGUGUGGACGCCAGUCUGCAUGGAGCCGACCUUGAAAUACCACCCUU
This 1739-nucleotide ribosomal RNA is filed under the name Escherichia coli. Its description in RNAcentral is "partial 23S ribosomal RNA". It matches the Rfam family "Bacterial large subunit ribosomal RNA", at positions 483 to 2207 of the family's 2925-position model. The record is from RNAcentral. Lineage: Bacteria; Pseudomonadati; Pseudomonadota; Gammaproteobacteria; Enterobacterales; Enterobacteriaceae.